AUCCGGCAAUAUUGCAUUCCUUGUCCGGUGGAAUCCUGAGGCUCGGGUAGGCAACUUCUCGACCAAUUUUCCAGUCGGGUCUAGUUCUAAAUGUCAGUGAAGAGAACAAGCUUGAAGCGAUCAUUAGAAACUAGCUACUCCCUAGAUGACACAAGAACACCGGCAACCAAAGCAGUGGGCGGAUGUACAGCCAACAAGGAUGGACAUCUCAUCCCCAGUGGAUUUAAAAAAAAAAAAGUUUUUAUUUACUAUCUAUCUAUACUAAUAAAGUAGAGUUUUUCUCUUCUUAAGGGGGGAAUAAUAACAAGUGUCGCUCUCUGAUUUGUUAAUACACUCGAAUUGGACUUUUUUCUAAACGUGAUUAUGUAUUUCUAAGCCCAUGUCAUUACAGAGCAACUCCAAGCCCAGAUCCUUCUUCCCUCUAGGUCUCAUCUUCUCACCAUCGCCGCCUC
RNAcentral lists this long non-coding RNA (452 nucleotides) under Brassica napus (rape). Its description in RNAcentral is "long non-coding RNA (BNAP_LNC015602)". The record is from RNAcentral. Lineage: Eukaryota; Viridiplantae; Streptophyta; Magnoliopsida; Brassicales; Brassicaceae.